AUUGAACGCUGGCGGCAGGCUUAACACAUGCAAGUCGAGCGGGGUGAUGGUGCUUGCACUAUCACUUAGCGGCGGACGGGUGAGUAAUGCUUAGGAAUCUGCUUAUUAGUGGGGGACAACAUCUCGAAAGGGAUGCUAAUACCGCAUACGUCCUACGGGAGAAAGCAGGGGAUCACUUGUGACAUUGCGCUAAUAGAUGAGCCUAAGUCGGAUUAGCUAGUUGGUGGGGUAAAGGCCUAACAAGGCGACGAUCUGUAGCGGGUCUGAGAGGAUGAUCCGCCACACUGGGACUGAGACACGGCCCAGACUCCGACGGGAGGCAGCAGUGGGGAAUAUUGGACAAUGGGGGGAACCCUGAUCCAGCCAUGCCGCGUGUGUGAAGAAGGCCUUAUGGUUGUAAAGCACUUUAAGCGAGGAGGAGGCUCUUUUGGUUAAUACCCAAGAUGAGUGGACGUUACUCGCAGAAUAAGCACCGGCUAACUCUGUGCCAGCCGCCGCCGUAA
RNAcentral lists this ribosomal RNA (503 nucleotides) under uncultured bacterium. Its description in RNAcentral is "partial 16S ribosomal RNA". It matches the Rfam family "Bacterial small subunit ribosomal RNA", at positions 30 to 523 of the family's 1533-position model. The record is from RNAcentral.